Molecule: ribosomal RNA, 253 nt
Filed under: uncultured bacterium
Lineage: Bacteria
Description: partial 16S ribosomal RNA
Rfam family: Bacterial small subunit ribosomal RNA
Source: RNAcentral
UACAGAGGGGGCAAGCGUUAUUCGGAAUUAUUGGGCGUAAAGGGCGCGUAGGCGGCUUGGCAAGUGGAUGGUGAAAUCCCUCGGCUUAACCGAGGAACUGCCGUCCAAACUGCUUCGCUUGAGACCGGGAGAGGUGAGUGGAAUUCCCAGUGUAGCAGUGAAAUGCGUAGAUAUCAGGAGGAACACCGGUGGCGAAGGCGGGUCUCUGGGCCGAUACUGACGCUGAGGAGCGAAAGCGUGGGGAGCGAACAGG